AGUGAACGCUGGCGGUAGGCCUAACACAUGCAAGUCGAACGGCAGCACAGUAAGAGCUUGCUCUUACGGGUGGCGAGUGGCGGACGGGUGAGGAAUACAUCGGAAUCUACUUUUUCGUGGGGGAUAACGUAGGGAAACUUACGCUAAUACCGCAUACGACCUACGGGUGAAAGCAGGGGAUCUUCGGACCUUGCGCGAUUGAAUGAGCCGAUGUCGGAUUAGCUAGUUGGCGGGGUAAAGGCCCACCAAGGCGACGAUCCGUAGCUGGUCGGAGAGGAUGAUCAGCCACACUGGAACUGAGACACGGUCCAGACUCCUACGGGAGGCAGCAGUGGGGAAUAUUGGACAAUGGGCGCAAGCCUGAUCCAGCCAUACCGCGUGGGUGAAGAAGGCCUUCGGGUUGUAAAGCCCUUUUGUUGGGAAAGAAAAGCAGCAGGUUAAUACCCCGCUGUUCUGACGGUACCCAAAGAAUAAGCACCGGCUAACUUCGU
Molecule: ribosomal RNA, 491 nt
Filed under: uncultured bacterium
Lineage: Bacteria
Description: partial 16S ribosomal RNA
Rfam family: Bacterial small subunit ribosomal RNA
Source: RNAcentral